Molecule: ribosomal RNA, 463 nt
Filed under: Vreelandella stevensii
Lineage: Bacteria; Pseudomonadati; Pseudomonadota; Gammaproteobacteria; Oceanospirillales; Halomonadaceae
Description: partial 16S ribosomal RNA
Rfam family: Bacterial small subunit ribosomal RNA
Source: RNAcentral
CCUACGGUGGCUGCAGUGGGGAAUAUUGGACAAUGGGCGAAAGCCUGAUCCAGCCAUGCCGCGUGUGUGAAGAAGGCCUUCGGGUUGUAAAGCACUUUCAGUGGGGAAGAAAGCCUUGGGGCUAAUACCCUCGAGGAAGGACAUCACCCACAGAAGAAGCACCGGCUAACUCCGUGCCAGCAGCCGCGGUAAUACGGAGGGUGCGAGCGUUAAUCGGAAUUACUGGGCGUAAAGCGCGCGUAGGCGGUCUGAUAAGCCGGUUGUGAAAGCCCCGGGCUCAACCUGGGAACGGCAUCCGGAACUGUCAGGCUAGAGUGCAGGAGAGGAAGGUAGAAUUCCCGGUGUAGCGGUGAAAUGCGUAGAGAUCGGGAGGAAUACCAGUGGCGAAGGCGGCCUUCUGGACUGACACUGACGCUGAGGUGCGAAAGCGUGGGUAGCAAACAGGAUUAGAUACCCCAGUGUC